CCUACGGGAGGCAGCAGUGGGGAAUAUUGCACAAUGGGGGAAACCCUGAUGCAGCGACGCCGCGUGAGUGAAGAAGUAUCUCGGUACGUAAAGCUCUAUCAGCAGGGAAGAAAAUGACGGUACCUGACCAAGAAGCCCCGGCUAACUACGUGCCAGCAGCCGCGGUAACACGUAGGGGGCCAGCGUUAUCCGGAUUUCCUGGGGGUAAAGGGAGCGUAGGCGGCGCUGCAAGUCCGGAGUGAAAGUCCAUGGCUUAACCAUGGUACUGCUGUGGAAACUGUAGAGCUUGAGUGCGGGAGGGGCAUGCGGAAUGCGUAGUGUAGCGGUGAAAUGCGUAGAUAUUAGGAGGAACACCGGCGGCGAAGGCGGCCUGCUGGACCGUAACUGACGUUGAGGCUCGAAAGCGUGGGGAGCAAACAGGAUUAGAUACCCGAGUAGUC
RNAcentral lists this ribosomal RNA (440 nucleotides) under uncultured bacterium. Its description in RNAcentral is "partial 16S ribosomal RNA". It matches the Rfam family "Bacterial small subunit ribosomal RNA", at positions 338 to 795 of the family's 1533-position model. The record is from RNAcentral.